RNAcentral lists this ribosomal RNA (308 nucleotides) under uncultured bacterium. RNAcentral describes it as "partial 16S ribosomal RNA". It matches the Rfam family "Bacterial small subunit ribosomal RNA", at positions 505 to 809 of the family's 1533-position model. The record is from RNAcentral.
GAGACAGCAGUAGCCGCGGUAAUACGAAGGGUGCAAGCGUUACUCGGAAUUACUGGGCGUAAAGCGUGCGUAGGUGGUGGUUUAAGUCCGUUGUGAAAGCCCUGGGCUCAACCUGGGAAUUGCAGUGGAUACUGGGUCACUAGAGUGUGGUAGAGGAUAGUGGAAUUUCCGGUGUAGCAGUGAAAUGCGUAGAGAUCGGAAGGAACAUCUGUGGCGAAGGCGACUAUCUGGGCCAACACUGACACUGAGGCACGAAAGCGUGGGGAGCAAACAGGAUUAGAUACCCCCGUAGUCCCUGUCUCUUAUAA